Molecule: ribosomal RNA, 491 nt
Filed under: uncultured bacterium
Lineage: Bacteria
Description: partial 16S ribosomal RNA
Rfam family: Bacterial small subunit ribosomal RNA
Source: RNAcentral
AGUGAACGCUGGCGGUAGGCCUAACACAUGCAAGUCGAACGGCAGCACAGUAAGAGCUUGCUCUUACGGGUGGCGAGUGGCGGACGGGUGAGGAAUACAUCGGAAUCUACUUUUUCGUGGGGGAUAACGUAGGGAAACUUACGCUAAUACCGCAUACGACCUACGGGUGGAAGCAGGGGAUCUUCGGACCUUGCGCGAUUGAAUGAGCCGAUGUCGGAUUAGCUAGUUGGCGGGGUAAAGGCCCACCAAGGCGACGAUCCGUGGCUGGUCUGAGAGGAUGAUCAGCCACACUGGAACUGAGACACGGUCCAGACUCCUACGGGAGGCAGCAGUGGGGAAUAUUGGACAAUGGGCGCAAGCCUGAUCCAGCCAUACCGCGUGGGUGAAGAAGGCCUUCGGGUUGUAAAGCCCUUUUGUUGGGAAAGAAAAGCAGCAGGUUAAUACCCCGCUGUUCUGACGGUACCCAAAGAAUAAGCACCGGCUAACUUCGU